GAUGAACGCUGGCGGCGUGCCUAAUACAUGCAAGUCGAGCGAACGGACGAGAAGCUUGCUUCUCUGAUGUUAGCGGCGGACGGGUGAGUAACACGUGGAUAACCUACCUAUAAGACUGGGAUAACUUCGGGAAACCGGAGCUAAUACCGGAUAAUAUUUUGAACCGCAUGGUUCAAAAGUGAAAGACGGUCUUGCUGUCACUUAUAGAUGGAUCCGCGCUGCAUUAGCUAGUUGGUAAGGUAACGGCUUACCAAGGCAACGAUGCAUAGCCGACCUGAGAGGGUGAUCGGCCACACUGGAACUGAGACACGGUCCAGACUCCUACGGGAGGCAGCAGUAGGGAAUCUUCCGCAAUGGGCGAAAGCCUGACGGAGCAACGCCGCGUGAGUGAUGAAGGUCUUCGGAUCGUAAAACUCUGUUAUUAGGGAAGAACAGAUGCGUAAGUAACUGUGCACAUCUUGACGGUACCUAAUCAGAAAGCCACGGCUAACUACGUG
RNAcentral lists this ribosomal RNA (497 nucleotides) under uncultured bacterium. Its description in RNAcentral is "partial 16S ribosomal RNA". It matches the Rfam family "Bacterial small subunit ribosomal RNA", at positions 28 to 507 of the family's 1533-position model. The record is from RNAcentral.